Molecule: ribosomal RNA, 253 nt
Filed under: uncultured bacterium
Lineage: Bacteria
Description: partial 16S ribosomal RNA
Rfam family: Bacterial small subunit ribosomal RNA
Source: RNAcentral
UACGAAGGGUGCAAGCGUUACUCGGAAUUACUGGGCGUAAAGGGUGCGUAGGUGGUUGUUUAAGUCUGCUGUGAAAGCCCCGGGCUCAACCUGGGAAUGGCAGUGGAUACCGGACAGCUAGAGUGCGGUAGAGGGUAGUGGAAUUCCCGGUGUAGCAGUGAAAUGCGUAGAGAUCGGGAGGAACACCAGUGGCGAAGGCGGCCAUCUGGACAACUACUGACACUGAGACGCGAAAGCGUGGGUAGCAAACAGG